AGCAGCCGCGGUAAUUCCAGCUCCAAUAGCGUAUAUUAAAGUUGUUGCAGUUAAAAAGCUCGUAGUUGAAUUUCGGGGUUAGUAGGUUGGUCAUGCCUCUGGUAUGUACUGGUCUCACUGAUUCCUCCUUCCUGAUGAACUGUAAUGCCAUUAAUUUGGUGUUGCAGGGAAUCUGGACUGUUACUUUGAAAAAAUUAGAGUGUUUAAAGCAGGCUAACGCCUGAAUACAUUAGCAUGGAAUAAUGAAAUAGGACGUUCGAUCCUAUUUUGUUGGUUUCUAGGAUUGACGUAAUGAUUAAUAGGGAUAGUUGGGGGCAUUAGUAUUCAAUUGUCAGAGGUGAAAUUCUUGGAUUUAUUGAAGACUAACUACUGCGAAAGCAUUUGCCAAGGAUGUUUUCAUUAAUCAAGAACGAAAGUUAGGGGAUCGAAGACGAUCAGAUACCGUCGUAG
This 450-nucleotide ribosomal RNA is filed under the name uncultured Glomeromycotina. Its description in RNAcentral is "SSU rRNA". It matches the Rfam family "Eukaryotic small subunit ribosomal RNA", at positions 569 to 1023 of the family's 1831-position model. Lineage: Eukaryota; Fungi; Glomeromycota. The record is from RNAcentral.